Macrobrachium nipponense is the source of this 920-nucleotide long non-coding RNA. RefSeq lists it as uncharacterized. The transcript has 5 exons. Lineage: Eukaryota; Metazoa; Arthropoda; Malacostraca; Decapoda; Palaemonidae. The record is from RefSeq and is a predicted model, not a curated record.
CCCGCAAGGUGGGCAGAUUGACGAUGACCAGAGGUCCAAACCAGAGGGCAGCAGUUGUCUUUAUCGUCUGAGUAGUAAACGUGUAUACCCACAUUCAUUAGUGAAUUUUUCGUUGCCCCCUCGUCGGAUUAAUUUCGGGAUUUGGAAUGGCAGCAAGUUUUUGGUCGAAUGGUGCCCGGUUAGCAUCUCUGCAGCAAAAUUGUCAAGUCACUAUAGGAGACAUCACUGCAGCAUAGACAGCAGUUUUUAAAAGGUGCACUGGAUAAUGUUUGCUUAGAACAAUAUUAGUUGGAGAAAUGUCAUUCAAAUAGUGAAUGGAAGUUAAAGAAAGGAGACAUCACUACAACUUGAUAGUUUCAAAAUCUGCUUUGGAUAACAUCUGCCUAAACUAAUAUUGUAGGAGAAAUUUCAGUCAAACGAUGAAUGUAAAUCAAAGGAAUACACAGUUUUCUUCAUGGAACGGUAUAAGACUGGUAGUCCUCCAAAUGGCAUGGAAAGUUAGUUAAAAUCUUGUCAAGAACUGAACAUACAAGGACAUGGAUGAGGUCGGAAGUGCUCUAAACCCAGUUCUGCAUGGAUAGGCACAGGAAUGAAGUCUUUCGCAGAGCUGAAAAUAUUUCAAGAUACGAUGACUAAAUUACAGGAGGACAAAACGUGCACAAGAUUCCAGAAAAUAUGCCGGGAUAUUGCUGAAGCUGGAAAUGUGGCCCAUAAUGGAAAGACUUCCUAUGCUGCAAGAAUGACGUCUUCUACAGAGUUGGUGAUUCAUCAGGACCCAAAGAUUAAAUUACAGGGAGUUUCAUGAGGACAGAAUAUGCAUGAACAUCCAGGAAAAUGCUCCAUGAUUUAUAGGCAGUGACAAGUGAUUUUUAUAGGAGCGAGUCUUGUACAACUGUAAACUACUUCGUUGCCUGGAAUAU